CAGGACCCCGGGAUCAUGACCUGAGCCGAAGGCAGACGCUUAACCGACUGAGCCCCCCGGGCACCCCUAAACCUCUGUUUUAAGGUAGUGUUUUUGAACCUGCCAACCGUAAGAAUCACCUGAGGGCCUGCUGAAGCUGUAGUUGCCAGUCCACUAAUCCUCCUCAGACCUCACCGAACCAGCAUGUCCAGAGGUUCUGGAAGCAAGUAGGCCUAUGUGGAAAUAAUGAUAAUAAAGACAAAAUAUACAAGUAUACAAAUACAAGACAAAGUGCCACCAUGCUGACCAAGGAGGCAUUAUGGGAUCCCAGAAGAAAGAUUCCCUGAAGAAAGAGAAAAAUGGGCUUUAAGGAAGAGAGAUCAAUCGAGUCAUUCACACCAGAUCUUGUUAAAUAGGGAUCUCUGAGAAGCUGCUUCACAAGCAAGCCUCGUGGGAGAGAUUCUGGAGCUGGGUCCUCCCCCAGGGAUCUAGGUGGGCCUGUCACGUUAAUGAGAAUCUCAUGUGCCAGUGGAGAAUCGGCAAGUGCAGGUGUCCAAGAAAACUCCUCUCUUUGGCAUUAACAAUCCUGCGAGGAGCUGAUGGGAUUAUUGAGAUUAAAGUCGGUCAUCCGCCUAAGGUUAUAACGAAUGCUGCCCCCGAGACAAGAAAGGAGACAAAGAACAGGCUGUCUAGGUACAGCUGGCGGUCGGAAAAUGCGGGUAAACACUCAGUCUCGGAAGGGAUGCCAGUCGUUCCUGAGAGCGGAUGAAAUGAACUUCACGAUUUACUCUUUGGUCAACGGUGUUUUCCCUGCUGCAAGCUGACCACUCGGCCAGGAAGUGUAUACUGAUUUUUUUUUUGAAGAUCAUUUAGAAGGUGGGUAGGAAAAGCCUUGAAAAAGUGCAUUAAUUUUUUUUUUAAACUCUUUAAGAGAAUUGUUUGCAAUUACAAUUCACAACUGAUGUUCUGCAGUUUUGGACUGACCAGCUCUGUGUUGGAGGUGGGAAAGGAAAACAAGGAAAGGGGAAAUGUUAUGUAAUGAUUAGGGAUUUCCAGGGUCCUCUUGGAAGAAAGGGACAAAGCACAGCAUCAUUCUAUGCUCUGAAGAUAUGCUGCUUUGCUAUCCAAAUGUGGUGUGAAAAAAAAAAUCUAUCUAUAUUAAUUUCAUGCAUUUCAGCCUGGGUCACACAAUGGGAAAAAUGCAUCUGUGCGACUAUUUUCAAACCACAGGAGAAUGAGCACAGAUGUUACACUAAGCAUAUCGUGUUAUUCGUCCCCCAGCAUCGCCUAAAGUCCUUAACACAAUGGAAGCUGUGACUUGCAUUUAUCCACUGGAACCAUUCUUAACACGUGGUUGGGUACACCUAUUUCAGCCACAUCCUCGGAGGUGACAAGAGGUGAUAUGCUUUCUUGGUAAACAUGGGCACACUGUUUUGUGUGUGUGUGGUGUGUGGGAGAGGUGCCACUUGACAGAAAACAGGGAGCUGAGGCACAUAUUUGGAAAUGCAAAGAAAGCAUUCCCUUCAUAUUAACCUUGCAGGUUUUCAGGACAGUAAGAAUCCUAUCCCAUUGUUACUAUACUUUUGUUUAUUUUUUUUAGUAUUUUAUUUUAUGUAUUUAUUUGAGAGAGAGAGAGAGACAGAUCAAGAUUUUGAGCAGGGGGGAAGCAUAGAGAGAGAAGCAGACCCCACUGAGCAGGGAGCCCGAUGUAGGACUCGAUCCCAGAACCCUGGGAUCAUGACCCGAGCCAAAGGCAGAUGUCCAAUUGACUGAGCCAUCCAGACAUCCUGUUACUAUACUUCUAGAUGCAAGUUAAGGAUAAGAACACAUCACUUUGCAUGGUUUAAUAAAACUGCCAGUAUUUAAAAAGAAAUGGAAUGAGCUGGUUUGUAAUCUGUUCGAAUUACUUUCGACAAAAGAUUUUAAUUCAGAUGAAUUGUAUAUGACACAGAAGGAUAUUAUAAACCUGUACACUUCAAAGAAAGAUAAGUAGAUAAACAUGCUCAUGUAAAUUCUUCUUGAAAGCAGCCAUGUUCUUAGACUAAGGGGGCUGGAUUAUUGUAUUAUAGAAGUUGAUAAUCACAGUUGAAUUUUAGGAGAUAUAGAAACCUCAAAUUACCUAUUCCUGCCUCCUUCUCCUUUUUGUCUAACUGCCCAGAGAACACAGGAAUGUGUAGAUGGAGAUGAUAUAAGAUGCCUUCCAUAUUUGUCACAAUAAAUGAGAUUCAUAUAUUUCCUCGUGGUUGUUGGAGAGUAAGUAUCAUGUUAAGUGCACAAAUGUAUUGACUGGUUUUUCUUUACAUGGAAAUCGAAUUGUUAAAUAAAUGAAUUCCUGCCA
Long non-coding RNA from Neogale vison (American mink), 2317 nucleotides. RefSeq lists it as uncharacterized. The transcript has 4 exons. NCBI's taxonomy places the organism in Eukaryota, Metazoa, Chordata, Mammalia, Carnivora, Mustelidae. The record is from RefSeq and is a predicted model, not a curated record.